Molecule: ribosomal RNA, 492 nt
Filed under: uncultured bacterium
Lineage: Bacteria
Description: partial 16S ribosomal RNA
Rfam family: Bacterial small subunit ribosomal RNA
Source: RNAcentral
AGUGAACGCUGGCGGUAGGCCUAACACAUGCAAGUCGAACGGCAGCACAGUAAGAGCUUGCUCUUACGGGUGGCGAGUGGCGGACGGGUGAGGAAUACAUCGGAAUCUACUUUUUCGUGGGGGAUAACGUAGGGAAACUUACGAUAAUACCGCAUACGACCUACCGGUGAAAGCAGGGGACCUUCGGACCUUGCGCGAUUGAAUGAGCCGAUUUCGGAUUAGCUAGUUGGCGGGGUAAAGGCCCACCAAGGCGACGAUCCGUAGCUGGCCUGAGAGGAUGAUCAGCCACACGGGAACUGAGACACGGUCCAGACUCCUACGGGAGGCAGCAGUCGGGAAUAUUGGGCAAUGGGCGCAAGCCUGAUCCAGCAAUACCGCGUGGGUGAAGAUGGCCUUCGGGUUGUAAAGCCCUUUUGUUGGGAAAGAAAAGCAGCAGGAUAAGACCCCGCUGUUCUGACGGUACCCAAAGAAUAAGCACCGGCUAACUACGUG